CCCCUCUCGGGGUCAAAACUGGAGAGUUCCCAGUACUCUACCAGUCCUGACUAAAAGAGGGAGAGUCAGGCAGAGACAUAACUAUUCCAUUCCUAGCUUGGGCAGUGGCUAGCGAGUGGAAGACGAUCCGCUGCAAGU
Ornithorhynchus anatinus (platypus) is the source of this 138-nucleotide non-coding RNA. Lineage: Eukaryota; Metazoa; Chordata; Mammalia; Monotremata; Ornithorhynchidae. The record is from Rfam.